This 250-nucleotide ribosomal RNA is filed under the name uncultured archaeon. Its description in RNAcentral is "partial 16S ribosomal RNA". It matches the Rfam family "Archaeal small subunit ribosomal RNA", at positions 474 to 725 of the family's 1478-position model. The record is from RNAcentral.
CCCCAGCGCCACAAGUGGGGGUCAUGUAUUUGGCCUAAAGCGUCUGUAGCCGGUUUGACAAAUUUUCUGUGAAAUUGGACGGCUCAACCGUCCAGCGUGCAGAAAACACUAUCAAACUUGGAACCGGGAGAGGUAUAGAGUAUUCUGGGGGAAGCGGUAAAAUGUUAUAAUCCCCAGAGGACUACCAAUGGCGAAGGCACUAUACCAGAACGGAUUCGACGGUGAGAGACGAAAGCCGGGGGAGCGAUCC